RNAcentral lists this ribosomal RNA (784 nucleotides) under uncultured marine bacterium. Its description in RNAcentral is "bacterial SSU rRNA". It matches the Rfam family "Bacterial small subunit ribosomal RNA", at positions 14 to 794 of the family's 1533-position model. The record is from RNAcentral.
UGAUCCUGGCUCAGAUUGAACGCUGGCGGCAGGCCUAACACAUGCAAGUCGAACGGUAACAGGAAGUGCUUGCACUUCGCUGACGAGUGGCGGACGGGUGAGUAAUGCUUGGGAACUUGCCUUUGCGAGGGGGAUAACCAUUGGAAACGAUGGCUAAUACCGCAUAAUGUUUUCGAACCAAAGUGGGCUUUUAGCUCACGCGCAAAGAGAGGCCCAAGUGAGAUUAGCUAGUUGGUAAGGUAAAGGCUUACCAAGGCGACGAUCUCUAGCUGUUCUGAGAGGAAGAUCAGCCACACUGGGACUGAGACACGGCCCAGACUCCUACGGGAGGCAGCAGUGGGGAAUAUUGCACAAUGGGGGGAACCCUGAUGCAGCCAUGCCGCGUGUGUGAAGAAGGCCUUCGGGUUGUAAAGCACUUUCAGUGGUGAGGAAAAGUUAGUAGUUAAUACCUGCUAACCGUGACGUUAACCACAGAAGAAGCACCGGCUAACUCCGUGCCAGCAGCCGCGGUAAUACGGAGGGUGCGAGCGUUAAUCGGAAUUACUGGGCGUAAAGCGCACGCAGGCGGUUUGUUAAGCUAGAUGUGAAAGCCCCGCGCUUAACGUGGGAUGGUCAUUUAGAACUGGCAGACUAGAGUCUUGGAGAGGGGAGUGGAAUUUCUGGUGUAGCGGUGAAAUGCGUAGAGAUCAGAAGGAACAUCAAUGGCGAAGGCAGCUCUCUGGCCAAAGACUGACGCUCAUGUGCGAAAGUGUGGGUAGCGAACAGGAUUAGAUACCCUGGUAGU